AUUUAUAUUUAUUUAUUUGUAGUCCCUUUUUGAAGGGAAAGAAAUUAUGUAUACACCUCAUGUGUAUAUAGACAAUUUUUUUUCCCAUAUAUUCACUUGUAAAAAGGGUAAAUAAAUUUUAUAAUUUAAUCACAUGUGUAUUUUUAUUUUAUUUAUAAGUUUUUUAUGAAUAAAAUUAGUAGUAAAUAUACAUGCUUCGUGCGAUAAAGACAUUUAAAAAAGAGAUGAACCAAAAAAUCUUCAUAAGCGAUAUAUACGUUAGAUAUGUAAUAGACAU
This 277-nucleotide small RNA is filed under the name Plasmodium falciparum Santa Lucia. RNAcentral describes it as "RNA of unknown function RUF4". It matches the Rfam family "RNA of unknown function RUF4". Lineage: Eukaryota; Apicomplexa; Aconoidasida; Haemosporida; Plasmodiidae. The record is from Rfam by way of RNAcentral.